This 500-nucleotide ribosomal RNA is filed under the name uncultured bacterium. RNAcentral describes it as "partial 16S ribosomal RNA". It matches the Rfam family "Bacterial small subunit ribosomal RNA", at positions 30 to 523 of the family's 1533-position model. The record is from RNAcentral.
AUUGAACGCUGGCGGAAUGCUUUACACAUGCAAGUCGAACGGCAGCACGGACUUCGGUCUGGUGGCGAGUGGCGAACGGGUGAGUAAUGUAUCGGAACGUGCCCGGUCGUGGGGGAUAACGUAGUGAAAAUUACGCUAAUACCGCAUACGAUCUAUGGAUGAAAGCGGGGGAUCGCAAGACCUCGCGCGAUUGGAGCGGCCGAUAUCAGAUUAGGUAGUUGGUGGGGUAAAGGCCCACCAAGCCAACGAUCUGUAGCUGGUCUGAGAGGACGACCAGCCACACUGGAACUGAGACACGGUCCAGACUCCUACGGGAGGCAGCCGUGGGGAAUUUUGGACAAUGGGCGAAAGCCUGAUCCAGCCAUUCCGCGUGCAGGAUGAAGGCCCUCGGGUUGUAAACUGCUUUUGUACAGAACGAAAAGGUUUCUACUAAUACUAGGAGCUCAUGACGGUACUGUAAGAAUAAGCACCGGCUAACUACGUGCCAGCCGCCACAGUAA